AUCACAUACUUAUUCCACUAGCUUUAACACAAUAUUAAUAAGAAAAGGAAGGAAGUGUGGGAAACAAAAACAUACAACAACGAAAACUGUAAGAACUCGUGUAUUAAACCAGACCUGAAUUUCAGAAGGACCCAGAGAAGGCGGUGAUGAUUCUAGUAAUUCACAUAAAGUGUGAGACAACUUGAGUGCAAUGCUCUGGAUUUUCAGCAACUCAGGUUCACUCUGCAAAACCCAGAGAAUUUUGCUCUUCUUCGGAGACCAUUCUUCCAGUGAUUCCCUAGCUUCAUUAAUGGCUACAUCUAGUUCUUCACACUGCCUGCAUAUGGUUUCAUCUGAAGGAGCUUUCUGUUGAGCAACAUCAUCCAGUACUGGUUUCAAUAGCUUCAACAAAGUUGCAAUAUUUUUGUAGUUCUUUUGACCAGGCAUACUCUUUGAUGUUAGACAUGUCACGAGGUGAAUGAAUCGAGAGAUACUGUUUAUAAGGCACCUUACAG
This 494-nucleotide unclassified non-coding RNA is filed under the name Hevea brasiliensis (rubber tree). Lineage: Eukaryota; Viridiplantae; Streptophyta; Magnoliopsida; Malpighiales; Euphorbiaceae. The record is from RNAcentral.